UAUUUAUGGAGAGUCUAACCUGAGCAACAGACUGCAGCGUGGAGAGUUUGAUGGCCUUCUGCUGGGUGACAGGGGUUACCAUGACAACCCAGGCUGAUGACCUCAUACCCUGACCCUGAACCAGGCCCCCAACAGAACUUCAACCGGACUCACUGCAGGACCAGAGCCCGGGUGGAGAUGACCAUAGGCCUGCUGAAAGCCCGUUUCCAGAGCCUACAUCUCCUCAGGGUGACCCCUGAGAGGGCCUGUGAUAUUACUGUGGCAUGUGUUGUUCUUCAUAAUAUUACCACUAUUAGAGGAGAGCAACACCCUGCCCUACAAACUGAAGACCCAGAUGAUGAGCCCAUCCACCUGCAGCUAUCCAGGACAGCAGAGCAGUCAGAGACACCGUAUGCAAUAAUCACUUUAGAGUUUAAGUCACCAUCAUCACCACCACAGCAAAUAAAGACAUGAUACACAUUU
Long non-coding RNA from Acanthochromis polyacanthus (spiny chromis), 462 nucleotides. RefSeq lists it as uncharacterized. Lineage: Eukaryota; Metazoa; Chordata; Actinopteri; Pomacentridae. The record is from RefSeq and is a predicted model, not a curated record. The transcript is spliced from 2 exons.